RNAcentral lists this ribosomal RNA (525 nucleotides) under Prevotella sp. oral clone 19-143. RNAcentral's name for it is "bacterial SSU rRNA". It matches the Rfam family "Bacterial small subunit ribosomal RNA", at positions 8 to 521 of the family's 1533-position model. The record is from RNAcentral. Lineage: Bacteria; Pseudomonadati; Bacteroidota; Bacteroidia; Bacteroidales; Prevotellaceae.
AGAGUUUGAUUCAUGGCUCAGGAUGAACGCUAGCUACAGGCUUAACACAUGCAAGUCGCGGGGCAGCAUGUUGGUUGCUUGCAACCGAUGAUGGCGACCGGCGCACGGGUGAGUAACGCGUAUCCAACCUACCUAUUACCACGGGAUAACCCGGCGAAAGUCGGACUAAUACCGUAUGUGGUCUUCGAUUGGCAUCAGCAGUAGACUAAAGGUUUGGCGGUAAUAGAUGGGGAUGCGUCCGAUUAGUUAGUUGGCGGGGUAACGGCCCACCAAGACGUCGAUCGGUAGGGGUUCUGAGAGGAAGGUCCCCCACACUGGAACUGAGACACGGUCCAGACUCCUACGGGAGGCAGCAGUGAGGAAUAUUGGUCAAUGGGCGUAAGCCUGAACCAGCCAAGUAGCGUGCAGGACGACGGCCCUAUGGGUUGUAAACUGCUUUUAUGCAAGAAUAAAUUAGCCUACGUGUGGGUUAUUGCAGGUAUUGCAUGAAUAAGGACCGGCUAAUUCCGUGCCAGCAGCCGCGGU